CAGCCGCCGCGGUAAUACCGGCGGCCCGAGUGGUGGCCGCUAUUAUUGGGCCUAAAGCGUCCGUAGCCGGGCCCGUAAGUCCCUGGCGAAAUCCCACGGCUCAACCGUGGGGCUUGCUGGGGAUACUGCGGGCCUUGGGACCGGGAGAGGCGGGGGGGUCCCCUGGGGGAGGGGGGAAAUCCUAUAAUCCCAGGGGGACCGCCAGUGGCGAAGGCGCCCCGCUGGAACGGGUCCGACGGUGAGGGACGAAGGCCAGGGGAGCAAACCGGAUUAGAUACCCGGGUAGUCCUGGCGGUAAAGGAUGCGGGCUAGGUGUCGGGUGAGCUUCGGGCUCGCCCGGUGCCGUAGGGAAGCCGUUAAGCCCGCCGCCUGGGGAGUACGGCCGCAAGGCUGAAACUUAAAGGAAUUGGCGGG
Molecule: ribosomal RNA, 414 nt
Filed under: uncultured microorganism
Description: bacterial SSU rRNA
Rfam family: Archaeal small subunit ribosomal RNA
Source: RNAcentral